This 253-nucleotide ribosomal RNA is filed under the name uncultured bacterium. RNAcentral's name for it is "partial 16S ribosomal RNA". It matches the Rfam family "Bacterial small subunit ribosomal RNA", at positions 524 to 776 of the family's 1533-position model. The record is from RNAcentral.
UACGUAGGGGGCUAGCGUUGUCCGGAAUCAUUGGGCGUAAAGCGCGUGUAGGCGGCCCGGUAAGUCCGCUGUGAAAGUCGGGGGCUCAACCCUCGAAUGCCGGUGGAUACUGUCGAGCUUGAGUACGGAAGAGGCGAGUGGAAUUCCUGGUGUAGCGGUGAAAUGCGCAGAUAUCAGGAGGAACACCAAUUGCGAAGGCAGCUCGCUGGGACGUAACUGACGCUGAGACGCGAAAGCGUGGGGAGCAAACAGG